GACGAACGCUGGCGGCGUGCUUAACACAUGCAAGUCGAACGGAAAGGCCCUGCUUUUGUGGGGUGCUCGAGUGGCGAACGGGUGAGUAACACGUGAGUAACCUGCCCUUGACUUUGGGAUAACUUCAGGAAACUGGGGCUAAUACCGGAUAGGAUCUCCUGCUGCAUGGUGGGGGUUGGAAAGUUUCGGCGGUUGGGGCUGGACUCGCGGCUUAUCCGCUGGUUGGUGGGGUAGUGGCUUACCAAGGCUUUGACGGGUAGCCGGCCUGAGAGGGUGACCGGCCACAUUGGGACUGAGAUACGGCCCAGACGCCUACGGGAGGCAGCAGUGGGGAAUAUUGCACAAUGGGCGGAAGCCUGAUGCAGCAACGCCGCGUGCGGGAUGACGGCCUUCGGGUUGUAAACCGCUUUCGCCUGUGACGAAGCGUGAGUGACGGUAAUGGGUAAAGAAGCACCGGCUAACUACGUG
Molecule: ribosomal RNA, 468 nt
Filed under: uncultured bacterium
Lineage: Bacteria
Description: partial 16S ribosomal RNA
Rfam family: Bacterial small subunit ribosomal RNA
Source: RNAcentral